This 411-nucleotide ribosomal RNA is filed under the name uncultured bacterium UPA H2. RNAcentral's name for it is "bacterial SSU rRNA". It matches the Rfam family "Bacterial small subunit ribosomal RNA", at positions 27 to 439 of the family's 1533-position model. The record is from RNAcentral.
GAGUGAACGCUGGCGGCGUGCUUAACACAUGCAAGUCGAACGAGAACGGUCCUUCGGGAUGUCAGNUAAGUGGCGGACGGGUGAGUAAUGUAUAGUUAAUCUGCCCUUUAGAGGGGGAUAACAGUUGGAAACGACUGCUAAUACCCCAUACUCCUUUUACCUUAAUGGUAAAUGGGAAACGUUUUUUCGCUAAAGGAUGAGACUAUAUGGUAUCAGGUAGUUGGUGGGGUAAGAGCCUACCAAGCCAAUGACGCCUAGCUGGUCUGAGAGGAUGAUCAGCCACACUGGAACUGAGACACGGUCCAGACUCCUACGGGAGGCAGCAGUGGGGAAUAUUGCACAAUGGAGGAAACUCUGAUGCAGCAACGCCGCGUGGAGGAUGACGCAUUUCGGUGUGUAAACUCCUUUUAU